Molecule: ribosomal RNA, 459 nt
Filed under: uncultured bacterium
Lineage: Bacteria
Description: partial 16S ribosomal RNA
Rfam family: Bacterial small subunit ribosomal RNA
Source: RNAcentral
CCUACGUGAGGCAGCAGUGAGGAAUAUUGGUCAAUGGGCGAGAGCCUGAACCAGCCAAGUAGCGUGAAGGAUGACUGCCCUACGGGUUGUAAACUUCUUUUAUAAAGGAAUAAAGUGAGGCACGUGUGCCUUUUGUAUGUACUUUAUUAAUAAGGAUCGGCUAAACCCGUGCCAGCCGCCUCGGUAAUACGGAGGAUCCGAGCGUUAUCCGGAUUUAUUGGGUUUAAAGGGAACGUAGAUGGGUUGUUAAGUCAGUUGUGAAAGUUUUCGGCUCAACCGUAAAAUUGCAAUUGAUACUGGCAGCAUUGAGUACAGUUGAGGUAGGCGGAAUUCGUGGUGUAGCGGUGAAAUGCUUAGAUAUCACGAAGAACUCCGAUUGCGAAGGCAGCUUACUAAACUGUGACUGACAUUGAUGCUCGAAAGUGUGGGUAUCAAACAGGAUUAGAUACCCGGGUAGUC